UUCACCUUUUUUUGUGUGCGUGUGAAGGAGAUAAAACCUUUUCUUCCUUUUCUUUUUUUAAAAAAAAUCUCAGCCCUCCUCUCUCAUUUCCUUCUCCGAGCGACUCAGAGCGAGAGAAAACAAAGCAAGGAGAAACACUCAUCUACAACUGCUGGAAGGGAACCUAAGCCAAACUCCAGCUCCGCCGUUCCACGCACCCACCUACGGCUGCUGGAAGGGAUCCCCUCUGCGCGGACUUCUCUUCCAAAAUUCCCAAUUUCUACCUUCUUCGUCCGUUUGAAGCCAGCUCAUGAAACAAGGGAUUGCCCUCUUCCUUCCCUAUUUUUUAAUCUAUUGAGGGAUAGCGAGCUUUGAUUGAUUCCUUAUCCUCAAAUGGGGGUUUUCUAUUUGUUUUGGCAGCCAAGUACCAGACCAACCCCCGCCUCAUCCACUUUACAUCGCCGUGCUAACAAGGGUGUAUACGUCGUAGCUGCUGGAAAUGAAGGAUUGCAUGAGUUUUUUUUUUAAAAAAAAUUCUAUAAGUUGUUGGAAGGGUGCCCUUACUGAAAUUAUAAGGAGUUGCUGGCUUAUAAGUCCUUGGAAUAGGAAGGGUGGUGCUGGAACUCUGUUGAAUUUCUUGCUGUUGGAAGUUUUGAGCAUGUCCAACUCUACAGUUUAGGUGUUUGAACUCUUGCCUUAGUCUUUUGGGGUUUACGAUUCAAUGAGCUCUGCCACGGCACCAAUCGAUCCUCCACCCAUGAUGGUAGAUCACCUAUACUCCUUAUACGGCAGAUUGAAUAAGGGAAAGCCACCCUCAUUGGUUAAGAACUCUUGUGAAAACCUCAUCAUACGUGAGGAGCCAACACCAGAAACUACCCCUGUAGUUGACCCUUCGUCUGUUUCCAGAUGCUAUAUAGAGAAGGGCAUGUUCUCGGCGGUCCCCUUAAUUGUUUUAUAUAUUUUUUUCAUGUGCCAUUACUAAGGGUUGGUCGGAAUGGUUGUGCUUGAGUUGAUAGAGCAAACUACUUGAGAUCUUUUGUGAAGAAUUGAGGCACCAUUUUCUCAGGGCUUUGCGUGGUCUUCUUACUUGAUUCAUUGAGAAAAUUAGGACGUACUGUAUUUGGGAUACGGGGUGCUCGUAGCAUAGAAAUAUCUCUUUAGUCUCUGAAAGUAAAAGUUGCAAUUGAUGCUUUGAGCCUCAAACAAAAUGAAUUAAAGAGCCAGUGGCGUAAGCUACGAGACCUUCUCCUCGACAAAUGAACUACUAAUGACGCCAUUGAGUGCAUGGUGGAAACAGUGAAAGGAUCAUCUUGCAGUGCCUCCUUUGCUCUAUUUGGUCAUGCGCUGUGAUCUAGUUGAGAUUGUAUUUCUUUGGCGUGAGGACUGAUUAGCUUCCCGCAUAGUUUUUUUUUUUUAUUAUUUAUUUUUGAAACCAUAGGGUGCAUUGAUCUUUGGCAUAUACAACUUUGUUUUGCUUGAGUUGUAUUUCUUUUGGUUAGCUUAAAACUUAUGUUAUCAGGACCUUGCAAUGUAGUAUUAUUAUGUAUGAACUGCUAGAACCUAGAUUAAUUUCUAGAAUGCUUGAGGCAUGUUGUAAUCGUGCUUGUCUUAUAUAUUUUGCUUGGUUGGAGAUA
Long non-coding RNA from Prunus persica (peach), 1613 nucleotides. RefSeq lists it as uncharacterized. The record is from RefSeq and is a predicted model, not a curated record. Lineage: Eukaryota; Viridiplantae; Streptophyta; Magnoliopsida; Rosales; Rosaceae. The transcript is spliced from 4 exons.